RNAcentral lists this ribosomal RNA (245 nucleotides) under uncultured bacterium. Its description in RNAcentral is "partial 16S ribosomal RNA". It matches the Rfam family "Bacterial small subunit ribosomal RNA", at positions 524 to 768 of the family's 1533-position model. The record is from RNAcentral.
UACGUAGGGGGCGAGCGUUGUCCGAAUUCACUGGGCGUAAAGCGCGCGUAGGCGGACUAUUAAGUUGCGGGUGAAAUCCCGGGGCUCAACCCCGGAACUGCCUGCAAAACUGUUAGUCUUGAGGUAUGAAGAGGGAAGUGGAAUUCCAGGUGUAGCGGUGAAAUGCGUAGAUAUCUGGAGGAACACCCGUGGCGAAGGCGGCUUCCUGGUCAUAUCCUGACGCUGAGGUGCGAAAGCCAGGGGAG